GAUGAAGAACGCAGCGAAAUGCGAUAAGUAAUGUGAAUUGCAGAAUUCAGUGAAUCAUCGAAUCUUUGAACGCACAUUGCGCCCGCCAGUAUUCUGGCGGGCAUGCCUGUUCGAGCGUCAUUUCAACCAUCAAGCCCCCGGGCUUGUGUUGGGGACCUGCGGCUGCCGCAGGCCCUGAAAAGCAGUGGCGGGCUCGCUGUCACACCGAGCGUAGUAGCAUACAUCUCGCUCUGGGCGUGCUGCGGGUUCCGGCCGUUAAACCACCUUUUAACCCAAGGUUGACCUCGGAUCAGGUAGGAAGACCCGCUGAACUUAGGCAUAUCAAUAAGCGGAGGA
RNAcentral lists this unclassified non-coding RNA (336 nucleotides) under soil metagenome. RNAcentral's name for it is "partial contains 5.8S ribosomal RNA, internal transcribed spacer 2, and large subunit ribosomal RNA". The stretch from base 1 to 120 matches the Rfam family "5.8S ribosomal RNA", at positions 35 to 154 of the family's 154-position model. The record is from RNAcentral.